GCGCCUGUAGCUCAACUGGAUAGAGUAACGGCCUACGAAGCCGCGGGUUGCUGGUCCGACUCCAGCCAGGCGCA
This 74-nucleotide transfer RNA is filed under the name Candidatus Omnitrophota bacterium. RNAcentral describes it as "tRNA-Arg". It matches the Rfam family "tRNA". Rfam says of the family: Transfer RNA (tRNA) molecules are approximately 80 nucleotides in length. Their secondary structure includes four short double-helical elements and three loops (D, anti-codon, and T loops). The record is from RNAcentral. Lineage: Bacteria; Pseudomonadati; Candidatus Omnitrophota.